UCGGGGAGUAGGGAGCCCAGCUGGCCUGGGAGGUACCGUGGGGUCUCUGGGUCUCCCUGCCUCUGACCUGCAGGUGCUGCAGGUCCUCCAGCUCCUUCACCUUCUGCACCUGGGCUUCGUCAGCUGCAAAGAUUCGGAGCACCUGGUGCCUGGGCAAAGUGGGAUGAAAACUGAGCACCCCAGCCAGUUCCUACCCUGGCUGCCAACACUCCCCAGAGCAGGAAAGAGGCAGCCUGGGAUCCCCAGUGUGGGCCUGGGUCCUCUGGCCUGGAGUAGGAAGAGGCACCAAAGUCUCUGCCAUGGGAAGCCAGGCUCUCCCCAUCUUGGAAAAUUCUAGACUUAUUGCUGUCCCCAUCUAUUUAGAUUAUUUUUCUCUCUCCCAAACUGGCCAGGCCUCCUCUCUCUUCCUCUACUGCAAAUUCCUCCUCAUCUCCAAGGCUCAGACUGUCCUGAGAGACCUGGACCUCCGCCAGCCUGCCGCCCCAGGGUGGUGCUGGCCGUGCUCUCUGGCUGGUUCCUGCAUGUCUGUCUCCUCCAGACACUGGCUAGGCUUCUGCACCUGCUCCACUUGACGAAUGACAAAUACCAACAGAUGAGCCGAGCGGGACGGGCUGAGAGCUUUGUCUGUGUUUGCAGCCCACGCAGGGAAAGCAGUUCCCCUGCCAACGACCAGGUGGCUUUGCCCAAAUAUGGAGAAACACUUCAGGCCAUUAGUUCUGGUUCGAGCUAAGCAGAAUAAACUAAUCUUCCCCUGACCAAA
This is a long non-coding RNA of Marmota monax (woodchuck), 760 nucleotides long. RefSeq lists it as uncharacterized. The record is from RefSeq and is a predicted model, not a curated record. The transcript is spliced from 2 exons. NCBI's taxonomy places the organism in Eukaryota, Metazoa, Chordata, Mammalia, Rodentia, Sciuridae.